AGUGAACGCUGGCGGCAGGCCUAACACAUGCAAGUCGAACGGCAGCACAGUGGAGCUUGCUCCAUGGGUGGCGAGUGGCGGACGGGUGAGGAAUACAUCGGAAUCUGCCCAGUCGUGGGGGAUAACAUAGGGAAACUUAUGCUAAUACCGCAUACGACCUACGGGUGAAAGCGGGGGAUCGCAAGACCUCGCGCGAUUGGAUGAGCCGAUGUCCGAUUAGCUAGUUGGCGGGGUAAUGGCCCACCAAGGCGACGAUCGGUAGCUGGUCUGAGGGCAUGAUCCGCCACACUGGAACUGAGACACGGUCCAGACUCCCACGGGAGGCAGCAGUGGGGAAUAUUGGACAAUGGGCGCAAGCCUUAUCCAGCCAUGCCGCGUGGGUGAAGAAGGCCUUCGGGUUGUAAAGCCCUUUUGUUGGGAAAGAAAUCCAGCUGGCUAAUACCCGGUUGGGAUGACGGUACCCAAAGAAUAAGCACCGGCUAACUUCGUGCCAGCAGCCGCAGUAA
Molecule: ribosomal RNA, 506 nt
Filed under: uncultured bacterium
Lineage: Bacteria
Description: partial 16S ribosomal RNA
Rfam family: Bacterial small subunit ribosomal RNA
Source: RNAcentral